RNAcentral lists this ribosomal RNA (915 nucleotides) under uncultured archaeon. Its description in RNAcentral is "bacterial SSU rRNA". It matches the Rfam family "Archaeal small subunit ribosomal RNA", at positions 1 to 922 of the family's 1478-position model. The record is from RNAcentral.
UUCCGGUUGAUCCUGCCGGAGGCCACUGCUAUUGGGAUCCGACUAAGCCAUGCGAGUCGAGAGGGUUCGGCCCUCGGCAGACUGCUCAGUAACACGUGGAUAAUCUACCCUUAGGUGGAGGAUACUCUCGGGAAACUGAGAAUAAUACUCCAUAGGUCUAGGAUGCUGGAAUGCACCUAGGUUGAAAGUUCCGGCGCCUAAGGACGAGUCUGCGGACUAUCAGGUAGUAGUCAGGGUAAAGACCUGACUAGCCUACGACGGAUACGGGUUGUGAGAGCAAUAGCCCGGAGACGAUAUCUGAGACACGAUAUCGGGCCCUACGGGGCGCAGCAGGCGCGAAAUCUUCACAAUGUGCGAAAGCACGAUGAGGGGAUCCCAAGUGUUGGUUCGUAAGAGUCAUCUGUUUCUUUGUCUAAAAAACAGAGAGAGUAAGAGCUGGGUAAGACGGGUGCCAGCCGCCGCGGUAAUACCUGCAGCUCAAGUGGUGGCCGCUAUUAUUGGGCCUAAAACGUCCGUAGCCGGUUUAGUAAAUGCCUGGGUAAAUCGUGUAGCUCAACUAUACGAAUACCGGGUAGACUGCUAAACUUGAAACCGGGAGAGGCUAGAGGUACUCCUAGGGUAGAGGUGAAAUUCUGUAAUCCUAGGGGGACCACCAGUGGCGAAGGCGUCUAGCUAGAACGGGUUUGACGGUGAGGGACGAAGCCCUGGGGCGCAAACCGGAUUAGAUACCCGGGUAGUCCAGGGUGUAAACGCUGCUCGCUUGAUGUUAGUCGGGCUCCGAGCCCAACUAGUGUCGGAGAGAAGUUGUUAAGCAAGCUGCCUGGGAAGUACGGUCGCAAGACUGAAACUUAAAGGAAUUGGCGGGGGAGCACAGCAACGGGUGGAGCGUGCGGUUUAAUUGGAUUCAACGCCGGA